Long non-coding RNA from Phasianus colchicus (ring-necked pheasant), 1540 nucleotides. RefSeq lists it as uncharacterized. Lineage: Eukaryota; Metazoa; Chordata; Aves; Galliformes; Phasianidae. The record is from RefSeq and is a predicted model, not a curated record.
CACGCGGACGGCCGUUGGAAGCGCGAGGCGCGCGGGGCGGUGCCUGUGUGAGGGCUGUGGCGGGGCGGCGGCGCCGAGAGGUCCUUGUGGAACCAGGUGGUGCUGCGCUGUGAAUCCAUACGGGUGUGGUACCGAGCACCCGUAGCAGGAGCUCGGGAGCUACGCAGAGCCUGAGCUCACCGUCCUUUGGCAGCGGUAACAGCAGAGCUUAUCGCUGGGAGGAGAUGGAGGUGCAGUGCCUGAGGUGCGGCAUGCUGCCUGAGAAACGGCUCUGUGAUUCCCGCCCGCUGGGACACGGGGGGUUGGGACGCAGCAGCAGGAGGGCAGCGUUUGUACACACAGACUUCAUGAAGCUGAGGGGCACGUUUCAUUUUUUAAUCAGGAGCUGAUUUCUGCACCGGUACAUCUGCUGGAACGUAAGCGUGUACAUAUUGCUAUGUGUGUGCCAACAAACUCAGCUACACAGAACUGGCCCUGCAGUAACACUGCUGCAGUCAGUGACCAAACUGAAUUCCUGCUCCUCGCAGCCAGAAUGUUGUCCAAAAGGCAACGAUGCACCAAUGUCUGUUUGAGCCCGGGGUACAGCAGGAACCUGGGAUAAUUAAUGAGACACAUGUGCAGAAGAAGGGUGGGAAGAAUAAAAAAGUGAUUUAAUGGUUCAUGACGUGAUUGGAGAAACAUACAGUGUAAGAAUAUACUGAGAAAGAAGAAUAGAAAGCAGAGACGCUCACCCCCCUCCAGCAAAGAUGAAAUCUAAGGAUAACAGGAAAUAAAGCAAUUAAGGUCAAGACUGCUAUCAAGCUUCUGUUUGGAUCAGUAUGCUCACCAGAAUCCAAGCUGCUAAACAAGCUGAGCUCCUUGACCACGCUAGCUGAGCUGACACGGCAUUUCAAGUCUUGUUACCAGUUCAAUGGUUCUCUUAUUAAAAAAAAACAGGAGUGGAAGAGCUGAGAAGAAGAAAAGGCACCUCUUCAUUUAGCCUCUCCAUCUUGAUCACUGCUGAUGGGCUAUCAAUAAUUUCAACUUGAUUAGGCAGCUGGCCUAAUCAAGGUUAAAUAAAUUCUGCCUGGCUAUUUGCAUGAUCGUACCUGGAUUCAAUAAUUUUAAUUGGAAGGAGAUUUCUUUUUGGCUACUCCCUGGGAAGUACUUACGGAGUCACAAAACAAAAUUAAAGUUGAUGGAGUAAAACAAUCACACUUCAAAAACUGUGAAAGGGAAUCUAAAAAAGAUACUAAAAUCCUCAUCCUUCUGUUUAAAAUCUAAUGUAUAUACACAUACAUAUAUGUAUAUAUACAUGCAUACACCAAUUUAGAUGAGAAACAGAAGUCAUCAGUCCUGCAGUCAAGAAAGAUUUUAACCAAUUGCUUUAACAGAUUGUUUUAAUCUAAGAAAAGCUCUGCCACUGAUUCAUGAACGCAUCAUGAUUUUAAAUGAAAGUAAAAUGGGCCAUGCCCAUUGACACCAAAUUAUUAACCUGAUACAGAACUACCUGUGUCUCAACCAGCGUGGAUGCCUAUCUGUUAAUAAUGCAUUCUGUGAA